Molecule: ribosomal RNA, 497 nt
Filed under: uncultured bacterium
Lineage: Bacteria
Description: partial 16S ribosomal RNA
Rfam family: Bacterial small subunit ribosomal RNA
Source: RNAcentral
GAUGAACGCUGGCGGCGUGCCUAAUACAUGCAAGUCGAGCGGACAGAUGAGUAGCUUGCUACUCGGACGUUAACGGCGGAAGGGUGAGUAACAUGAGCAGAACCUACCUAUAAGACAGGUUUAACUUCGGGAAACCGGUGCUGAUACCGGAUACUAUAUGGAACGGCAUGGUUGGAUAGUGACAGAGGGUUUGGCUGGCACUGAUAGAUGGAUCCGCGCCGCAUUAGCUAGUUGGUAAGGUAACGGCUUACUAAGGCAGCGAUGGGUAGCCGACCUGAGAAGGUGAACGGCGCCAGUGGAACUGAGACACGGUCCAGACUCCUAGGGGAGGCAGAGAUAGCGACUCUUCGGAGAAGGGCGGAAUCCUGCCGGAGCAGCGCCGCGUGGGUGAUGAAGGUCUGCGGAUCGUAUAACUCUGUUCUGAGUGAAGACCGAUUGUGUAAGUAGCUAUGCACGUGUUGACGGUACCUGCUCAGAAAGCCACGGCUAACUACGUG